CAUCGAUACUUGCUGUCAACUGACAGCGAAAAGUAACACCAGGGUUUUAUGGAUCACCUUGGUCCGUUCGAAAAGCGCGAAAACGACAAAAACAAACAACAUCACGUUUCGUGUAGGGAAAGUAAAUCGAAUAGCUAGUGAGAGUAGAAGUGAAGGUAAAAUUAAAACUAUUUAGCGCAAAAGUGGAACAUUUAACAUUAAAUUACUUAAUCUAGAUUAGACUACCACGAUUAGUACGGUCGAUUGAAACAUUGCACGAACAAAUUAAAAAGUGACUGUUAAUUUAGCAGGUAACUUGAGUGCCAAAACGUACACUGAAUCCUAACCUAAUAUGUACAAUUUCUACAGUCGUAAACAGUACGGAUCGUUGCUACUUGCGAGGACAGGCACAGGUACAGUUGAAGGACACUAAACGUAAGUGGAAAACAUUACUAUAAACACAAAAACGAAUGUUUAAGAUACCCGAACACGAAUGUACACACAAGUUAAAAAUCACUUAGCCUAAUUGGGGUUUCAUUUGUCUUCUUCAAAGGGAUUUAAUAACACAUCUACCAGAUAAUAAAGAUUGUUAUCGAACCGGAAUUUUACUUCUUCUGUCUGUCGUUCGCUUGCGCAACAUUUUAUUAAAUCCGUUUACGAUCGGGGGCUUAUUUUGUCGGUAUGUCGAAACAGCGGGGAACUGCACCAGUGGGUGCGAAUUGUGGACUAUGUCAACAGCCGGAUACUAGCCGUAUGGUAGCGUGUGAUUCCUGUGAACAGUGGUUUCACUUUGCGUGUGUUGGUGAGGAUUCGAGUGUUGAGGAUCGGGAGUGGAUCUGCGCGAGUUGUGUUGCCGCAGCUAAUCAACCUCCGGCUGGCACGUCGACACCCAAAAACAACAACAACGCCGGUGCAAUACCAAGGUCGGGGAAUAAUUUACCAACGGAUCCGAGACUGGAAGAACUUCUGCAGCAGCAGGUGUCCAAGCAGCUAGCGGCUAUGCAGGCGCAGUUUGACCGGAUGUUAAAAGAAAAGGAAGAACAACAGGCAAAGGAGCUCAACGAUCAACGGGAAAGAUACGAGCAAAGGCUGAAAGAUACGGAGCAGCGUGUGAUGGAGCAGGUAGCUGCGAGCCUGCGCGGAGGAUCAGCAGCGGGCUUGGGAGCAAACCAAACGUCGCAGAUUGCCAACGUUGGAGCGGCUCGAGGUGCUGUUCGGAGUGAGCAACCUGUUUUUUUAUUAGAAAGUGCAUCUACGGCGGGAGGUUCUGCAACCCAAAACCCGCAAGCGAUCAACAGUGGAGCGACAAGCAACGUACGGUGUAAUCAACCUAUGGCAUGGUUACCUGGUGCCGGGCCUCUAGCGAGUUCGACGACGAACCCACUGCCGCAGAUUCAUGCUGGCGAAGCGAGCUGCGACGCUCUUGCUCAGGAGUUGAAGCUGUUGGAGGAUAAGCAGGCUAUGGAGCGAAAGCAUUUCGAGGAGCGGAGGCAACUGCUGCAGCGGCGAAUGGCGGUGAAUGUUGGUCCGACCAGUGGAGGUACCGGCCUGAAUCCAGAAUCGGCGGCAUUUCAACCGAGUGUUGGCAGUUUCUGCGGUUCGACUGGAGGUGAUGCUGGGAUAAGGGCUCAAGCGACGGCGUUCUUGCCAAGUUUUGGUGGCUUACAUGGUGCUGCGGGCGGAGCGACUGGAGGUGGUGCCGGAAUACGGAGUCAAACGACGGCGUUCUUGCCGAGUUUUGGUGGCCCACAUGGUGCUACGGGUGGUGGAGUUGGAUUCAAUUCCCAAGCGACAACUGUUGGAGGUGGUUUCGGGUUUACAACGUUGAACCAGAGUCAGAUCUCGGCGCGGCAUGUUCUGAACAAGGAGCUUCCCUGUUUCGCUGGUAAUCCAGAAGAGUGGCCUCUUUUCAUUGCGAGCUACGAGAGCUCCAGCAGGAUCUGUGGGUUCAGCGAUGAGGAGAACAUGCUGCGGCUUCAGCGGUGCCUAAAAGGGAGAGCUUUGGAAGCAGUGCGAUGGCGUCUGAUGCAUCCCCAGAAUUUGCCAGGAGUGAUCGAGUUGUUGAAAAACCUAUUCGGGAGACCCGAAGCUAUCGUCUUCUCGUUCAUCAAGAAGAUCCGGGAAUUGCCGCCACCGAAGGAGGAGAAGCUGCAGACGCUCAUAGACUUCGGCGUGGCUGUUCAAAACGUCUGUGCCACCAUUACUGCAUCCGGUUUGGACGACUACAUGUUCGACGUGUCUCUUCUCCAGGAGUUGAUUGGCAAACUUCCGACAUCCUAUAGCAUGAGCUGGGCGUUUCAUCGACAGGGAUUGCCAAGGGCAACGCUCUGGGAGUUCGGCGAAUGGCUGGGAAUGGUUGUUCAGGCGGCGAGCACUAUUACGUUGCCUUCAGUAAAUGCUCCAAAAGUUGAAAGACGUGGUAGAAAGGACGAUAACUUUAUCAACGUGCACUCGGAGACUUGCUGCUGCAUCGACGCUCCACCGAUGGAAUGUCCUAGUACUGCCCCAAAGUCUAGGAGUUGCAUCGUGUGUCAAAAAGAUUGCAGCGGUCUCGAGAAAUGUCAGAAGUUCCUUGAUUGGGAUGUUGGAUCUCGCUGGACGGUGGUUAAGGAGCAGAAUUUGUGUAGGAAGUGCCUUCGAAAACACUAUGGAGCCUGCCAGGUGAAGGAGCCAUGCGGAAAGAAUGGGUGCACGUAUAAGCACAGCAGUUUGCUGCAUGACGACAAGCGGUAUAGUAAGCCGGCGAAUCCUGCGGAAAGUUGCAACAUGCAUUCCAAGGCAAUGCGGAGAGUCCUGUUCCGUUACGUUCCGGUGACUAUCUACGGUAGGGGAAAGCAGGUCAACACCUAUGCGUUUCUCGAUGAUGGAUCGUCUGCUACCUUGAUGGAGCACAGUCUGCUGAAGGAGUUGGGGUUGAAAGGCACUUCCUAUCCGCUGUGCCUCGACUGGACUGGUGGUCAAAGCCGCGAAGAAAACGAAUCGGUCGUACUAGCAGUGAAGAUUUCCGGAAUCAGCGGAGUGCCUGAUGUGUUCGAGAUGCCAGAGGUCCACACGGUUCGGGAUCUUUCUCUUCCGAAACAGUCGGUGUCGAUACCAAAGAUGGUGGAGAAGUACAGCUAUCUCGCAGGUUUACCGCUGCAGUCAUACGAGAGUGCCUCUCCGCGAAUCCUUAUCGGAAUGAACAACUGCCGUCUAGGAAGCUCGUUGAGGAGCAUUGAAGGAGGUGAGAACGAGCCAAUGGUGUCCAAGACACGACUCGGCUGGAUACUGUACGGUCCCUGUUCAUCGGAGCCCGGUGCGAGGAAUUCUGAUUAUAGUGGUCACCACAGUUUCCACAUCCGCCCGUGCGUCAAGGAGGACGUAAAGGAACUGAAUGCAGCACUUAAGGAGUAUUUUUCGAUCGAGUCGCUGGGGAUUGCCGGAGCGUCAAGGUCGAUGCUGUCGAAGGAUGAAGAGCGCGCUUUGAAGAUCCUGUCCACCGAAACGCGGCUGAUAGAAAACCGCUACGAGACCGGAUUAUUGUGGCGUUAUGACCAAAUAAACUUGCCGAGUAGCAGAGGAAUGGCCCUGAAGCGUCUGGACUGUCUACUAAAGCGGCUGAAGCGAGACCCUGAUCUAGCGGCCGCGAUGUCAGCGAAAAUGUCCGACUACGAGGAGAAGGGGUACAUUCGACGACUUUCCGCUCAGGAAAAGGCGGAGAAACAUUCGAACGACUGGUUCUUGCCGAUAUUUCCGGUUACGAAUCCAAACAAGCCAGGAAAGAUUCGCGUUGUAUUCGACGCAGCAGCCAAGGUCAACGGAGUUUCCCUCAAUUCGUAUCUGCUUACGGGUCCCGAUCAGCUAACGUCCCUGUUAUCAGUCCUCUUCAAGUUCCGGGAGUUCAGCGUUGCCGUCGUUGGAGACAUUCGAGAAAUGUUUUUCCAGGUCGCCAUGAAGAAGCAAGACCAGCGAAGCCAGAUGAUUCUGUGGACCAGUGGAAAUGAGAGCGGAGAUCCCGAGGUGUAUGUAGUGACGGUGAUGACCUUUGGGGCGGCAUGUUCUCCAAGCAGUGCACACUACGUGAAGAAUCGAAACGCUGACCGAUUCGAGGAGCAGUACCCUAGGGCGGUGCAGUGUAUCAAGUACGAGCACUACGUUGAUGACAUGCUGACAAGCGUCGAAACCGAGGAGGAGGCGGUGAAGCUAGCUGAUGAGGUAAGAUGGAUCCAUGCGCAAGGAGGUUUCGAGAUCCGAAACUGGCUUUCAAACUCCAGUUAUGUCGUUAAAAGUCUGCUUGAGGAGCCAAUCGUGGAGAAGAACCUUAGUGUCGGUCCGGAGAUGUCAACAGAAAAGGUCCUCGGGAUGUGGUGGGACACUACAACCGACACCUUCACAUUCAAGUUGUCACCGAAACACGACGCGGAGCUGCUAUCUGGUGCCAGGAUACCUACGAAACGGGAAGUCCUCAGAACCCUGAUGACAGUGUACGACCCUAUGGGGCUCAUCGGUAACUUCCUGAUCUACCUCAAGAUUCUGCUGCAGGAGAUUUGGCGCUCCGGAUCUGGCUGGGACGACGAGAUCAACGCACGACUAACCGAAAAGUGGCUGACGUGGAUCGAAACUUUGCCGAAUGUCCGACAGGUCAGGAUUCCUCGCUGCUACCGUACUACGACAUCCGCUGAAUCCAGUAACAGCAUCGAACUCCACAUCUUCUGUGAUGCCAGCGAGAAUGGAAUGGCUGCCGUAGCAUACUUCAGAUUCGAGGAAGAAGGGAAGGUGGAGUGUGCUCUAAUCGGAUCGAAAACUCGUGUGGCGCCGUUGAAAUUUCUCUCGAUUCCUCGCCUCGAGCUGCAAGCCGCAGUAGUUGGAGCACGUCUCGCCGGCAGCAUUGUGAGUUCGCAUAGAAUCCGGAUCACACGACGCAUUUUCUGGACCGAUUCCCGCGACGUAGUGUGCUGGCUACGGUCUGAUCAUCGGCGCUAUAGCCAAUUUGUGGCUUUCAGGAUCAGCGAACUGCUCGAUACGACGGAAGUGGGAGAGUGGAGAUGGCUGCCGACCAAGCAGAACGUAGCGGACGAAGGAACGAAGUGGCAAAGGUUGCCGGACUUUCAGCCGGAAAGUCGUUGGUUUCGAGGACCAGACUUCCUACGAGAACCCGAAAAUUCGUGGCCUGGCGAUGCUGGAGAUCAAGGAACGACUAUGGAAGAGAUCCGUGCCAGCGUUCUACACCACCAAGGAACCAAACCACUGAUCAUUUCAUUCGAACGUUUUUCGAAAUGGAAGCGACUUUUGCGGUCCGUCGGAUACCUACAUCGUUACUUCAUCAACUUUCAAAACACAGUCAAGAAAACCACCCUAGUAAGAGGCGCUCUGACGCAGGAGGAGUUGAAGCUAGCUGAGAACACGAUCUACCGAUGUGUUCAGCAGCAGGCUUACCCGGACGAAGUUCGAAUUAUUCGCAGCCGAGUAAAAGAAGAUUCACCUUGGGAACGUACUCUACCGAAAUCCAGUGCGCUGUACAAACUGAAUCCAGUCAUCGAUGAGCACGGUGUUCUACGAAUGCGAGGACGUAUCGGUGCCUGUGAUUGGGCAGAUGAGGCUACGAAAGAUCCCGUUAUACUCCCGAGACAACAUCAUGCUACCAACCUGUUGAUUGCUGAUUACCAUGCUACGUAUCAUCAUCAGAACCACCAAACAGCGCUCAACGAAAUCCGCCUCAAGUACAACAUUCCUCGUCUCCGCUCCGAGUUUGACCGAGUCCGAAGAAACUGCCAACGGUGCAAAAUCCGACAAGCGAACCCGAAACCUCCCGCGAUGGGGAACCUUCCGCCCGCCCGGUUGGCAGCGUAUCAGCGCCCAUUCUCGUACACCGGAAUCGAUUACUUUGGCCCAAUGUCUGUGUUAGUUGGCAGACGUACCGAAAAGCGAUGGGGAGUCCUGCUCACCUGUAUGACUACCAGAGGUGUGCACAUCGAGAUCGCGCAUUCGCUGAACACAGACUCGUGCAUCUUGGCGCUGCGUAAUUUCAUCGCGAGGAGAGGCUCGCCCUUGGAGAUCCUGAGCGACCGGGGUACCAACUUCAUCGGAGCCUCUAGGGAGUUAUGCGAGGCAUUGAAGCAGAUCGACGAAGAACGUCUGAAGGUGGAGUUCGUCAGCCCGACCACCAAAUGGACGUUCAACCCUCCAGCCGCUCCACAUUUUGGUGGCUGCUGGGAGCGCCUGAUACAGUCGGUGAAGAGAACUAUGAACGACUUCGACCCCCCGCGUUUACCCUCGGACGAGAUUCUUCGUUCCAUGUUGAUGGAGAUCGAGAUGAUCCUGAACUCUCGACCGCUAACCGACAUACCGAUCGACAACGACAGUGAACCACCCCUCACACCCAAUCACUUUUUGUUAGGGUCAUCUAACGGUAGUAAGCCCCCGAUCAUUUUCGACGACAGACCGAUUGUGCUGAAGCGUUCCUGGAAGAUGGCACAACAGUACGCAGACACGUUCUGGAAGAGGUGGGUGAACGAGUAUCUGCCCACGUUGACACGCAGGACCAAAUGGUUUCAGCCCGUGAAACCCAUCCAAGAAGGCGACCUAGUGAUCAUCAUCGACGGAAAUCUCCCUAGGAACUACUGGCCAAGAGGACGAGUGGUCAAAGCGAUCGCAGCCCAAGACGGGCAGGUUCGUCGCGUGACAGUGCAGACAUCGAAGGGGCUCUUGGAAAGACCGGCGACCAAGGUUGCUGUAUUAGACGUUGGUGCAACAGGAGGUAAGCCACAGGACGACAGUGGCGUACCGAGGGGGAGUGUCACGACGGUGCAGAGUGACGCACCUCCCCAAUAACAACAACCUUCUCACUCACCAUCGAUACUUGCUGUCAACUGACAGCGAAAAGUAACACCAGGGUUUUAUGGAUCACCUUGGUCCGUUCGAAAAGCGCGAAAACGACAAAAACAAACAACAUCACGUUUCGUGUAGGGAAAGUAAAUCGAAUAGCUAGUGAGAGUAGAAGUGAAGGUAAAAUUAAAACUAUUUAGCGCAAAAGUGGAACAUUUAACAUUAAAUUACUUAAUCUAGAUUAGACUACCACGAUUAGUACGGUCGAUUGAAACAUUGCACGAACAAAUUAAAAAGUGACUGUUAAUUUAGCAGUCGUAAACAGUACGGAUCGUUGCUACUUGCGAGGACAGGCACAGGUACAGUUGAAGGACACUAAACGUAAGUGGAAAACAUUACUAUAAACACAAAAACGAAUGUUUAAGAUACCCGAACACGAAUGUACACACAAGUUAAAAAUCACUUAGCCUAAUUGGGGUUUCAUUUGUCUUCUUCAAAGGGAUUUAAUAACACAUCUACCAGAUAAUAAAGAUUGUUAUCGAACCGGAAUUUUACUUCUUCUGUCUGUCGUUCGCUUGCGCAACA
This is an RNA transcript of Uranotaenia lowii, 7368 nucleotides long. RefSeq lists it as uncharacterized. The record is from RefSeq and is a predicted model, not a curated record. NCBI's taxonomy places the organism in Eukaryota, Metazoa, Arthropoda, Insecta, Diptera, Culicidae. The transcript is spliced from 2 exons.